UACGUAGGUGGCGAGCGUUGUCCGGAUUUACUGGGCGUAAAGAGCGCGCAGGCGGUCGUACAAGUCGCGUGUGAAAGCCCCCGGCUCAACUGGGGAGGGUCACGCGAUACUGUUCGACUCGAAGGCAGGAGAGGGAAGUGGAAUUCCCGGUGUAGUGGUGAAAUGCGUAGAUAUCGGGAGGAACACCAGUGGCGAAGGCGGCUCUCUGGGACGGUACUGACGCUGAGACGCGAAAGCGUGGGGAGCGAACAGG
RNAcentral lists this ribosomal RNA (253 nucleotides) under uncultured bacterium. RNAcentral's name for it is "partial 16S ribosomal RNA". It matches the Rfam family "Bacterial small subunit ribosomal RNA", at positions 524 to 776 of the family's 1533-position model. The record is from RNAcentral.